This is a long non-coding RNA of Mytilus californianus (California mussel), 1324 nucleotides long. RefSeq lists it as uncharacterized. The record is from RefSeq and is a predicted model, not a curated record. The transcript is spliced from 2 exons. NCBI's taxonomy places the organism in Eukaryota, Metazoa, Mollusca, Bivalvia, Mytilida, Mytilidae.
UUCAGAAAUUAAAAAGAAUUAUUCUUCAAAUAUUAUUUUUUUUUCAAAUUUCAAAUAUUGAAAAAUUUCAAGAAGUAAUCUUUAAUUGCACAGUAUGGCGCAUUAGAUUUGUAAAAUCUUUGACCACAUUUAUUUAUUUGUUAUGCAGAAUCUAACCGUGUAUUUAGAUUUUUAAUUUUGGGUCCAGUUUUCAAAUUGGUCUACAUUAAGGUCCAAAGGGUCCAAAAUAAAACUUUGUUUGAUUUUAACAAGAAUUGAAUAUAUGGGGUUCUUUGGUAUGCUGAAUCUAAACCUGUAUUUAGAUUUUUGAUUUUUGGCCCAGUUUUCAAGUUGGUCCAAGUUGGGGUCCAAAAUUUAACUUUGUUUGAUUUCAACAAAAAUUGAAUAUAUGGGUUCUUUGAUAUGCUGAAUCUAAACAUGUAUUUAGAUUUUUUAUUUGUGGACCCCGCUAUCAAAUUGGUUCAUAUUGAGGUCAAAAGGGUCCAAAAUUAAACUUUGUUUGAUUUCAUCAAAAAUUGAAUUAUUGGGGUUCUUUGAUAUGCCAAAUCUAACUGUGUUUUUAGAUUUUUAAUUUUGGGUCCUGUUUUUUAAAUUGGUCUACAUUAAGGUCCAAAGGAUCCAAAAUUAAAGUUAGUUUGAUUUUAACAAAAAUUGAAUUAUUGGGGUUCUUUGAUAUGCUGAAUCUAAAACAUGUGUUUAGAUUUUUGAUUAUGGGCCCAGUUUUCAAGUUUGUCCAAGUUGGGGUCCAAAAUUAAACUUUGUUUGAUUUCAACAAAAAUUGAAUAUAUGGGGUUCUUUGAUAUGCUGAAUCUAACCAUGUAUUUUGAUUUGGACAUUGGACCAUAAUAGGUAAAUUAAAAAAAAAUCAAGUUCUUAGACCACAUUCUUUCUGUGUCAGAAACCUAUGCUGUGUCAAAUAUUUAAUCACAAUCCAAAUUCAGAGCUGUAUCAAGCUUGAAUGUUGUGUCCAUACUUGCCCCAAAUGUUCAGGGUUCGACCUCUGCGGUCGUAUCAAGCUGCGCCCAGCGAAGCAUUUUAUUAAAACAUUUAUUAGAUUCAUAAACUAUCCUGGAUUUUUACCAAACUUGGACAGAAGCUACUUACAGUCAAAAGAUAGUAUAGAGAGGAAUAUUUUUAGUAAUUUUUUUCCUCAUUUUUGUUGAGCCUGCGAUUAACAGCAAAAGUAUGCAAGACACCGGGUUCCGUGGAACCCUUACGAAUUUUUUUAGUUUAAGAGAAUGGAUUUCUAUGAAAUUUUCCCAGAAGGUUCAAUACCACAAAGGGAAGGCUGGGAUUGAGUUUUGGGGUAAUUGCCCCAAACGUU